Molecule: long non-coding RNA, 1268 nt
Filed under: Homo sapiens (human)
Lineage: Eukaryota; Metazoa; Chordata; Mammalia; Primates; Hominidae
Description: HSALNT0372763
Source: RNAcentral
UCUCAUCUGGAGAUGGCUGUAGUGGGCAGGCUGUUUUGGCUCUGCUUCUACAGACCUAUGCAGCAGGUUUUGUAUUGGGUUCAACCUACAGGCCAAUAGAUGACAUUUGCAGGUGAAGAGCUGGAUAGUGGGGUUCCUGGUGUUCCGUGGAAGAGGCCGGACACAAUUGGGCAGAGCUGGAGCCUCUGGCUUGCCCAUGUGUAUCCCAAUGGCAAGCACAGGCACCAGCCCUGAAAAGGGUGGCUGGGAGAUGCUCUUAGGGACAUGCCCCAGAGAUCUCUGUGUGGGGCAGAGUGAGGAGGCUUCACUGGCUCCCGCAUGGUAGACAGACAUGAACAGAAUCUAUUUCCCUAUCACACCCAUUGCAGGUACUUCAGAUGCACACUGUAGUCUAUCUCCAGACCACAGUGUGGUUGAUUGAAAGCCUCAGGAAACCUUGUUUUCCAGAAGAAAAUAAACUUGAUGUUUUCUUUGGGCCUAUCAUUAUCAUCACUAUGAUUAUCAUGUACAGUUUGCUUGAAUUUACCACAAAAUUCAAUGCUUGCUUAAUAUUAAAAAAUGAGACGGUUGUUCUCCAAGAUUGUGUACAUUAUUAUUUAACCAUCUUCUUCUAAAUAAAGGACGAUGAAAAACUUAAGAUUUACUCUAGUUUUCCUCUGCCAGUUCAAUGACAUACUGCUUGAGAAAUGGAAAAACUGGAGUUUCAACUCCCUAUUUAGUAUGGCAGCUAUUCUGUUCCUGGCACGGCCAUUUGUGUUGUGUUGUGAGCCCAUUAAAAGUGAUUCUAUGUUUUUUCCAUAGAUGUCGUCUUUGGUAGUUGGCAUUCUUCCCAGAGGAAGAUAAUGGGAAUCAGACAUGCUUCUGAUUGUCCCACCAGCCAGCUGCCGGUUUCAGCCCAAGCCAUUCUGAAUUGGAGGAUGAUGGUCUAGCUUUACUUCUCAAAUAGGCUACUCCUUCCCACAUGGUCAGGUCGCAGACGAAAAAUCAGUCUCCUGGGAAAGCUCUCAGCCUGAUUGAGAAAGGAGACCUAUAAAGAAACAAUUACAAUACAGCACUCAAAAUGUCACAGGGGAAAAAGUUUCUAUAGAAAAUGGAAGACAAUGUCUAAAUUCAGCGGCCUAAACAUGACUCAAUUUCCUUGAGAUGAAGGACAUUUAAAGAUGUCAUCAAACCUCAUCAGUGGGGGAUAUUUUAAGAACAACCACCAAUAUUAUUACCCUGGAGACACUUAAUUCUAUCACCCUUCACUGGCCACCACAAAAAUAAAC